UAUCCACUCCUUCACCUCGGCCGUGCCGUUCUCGACGGUAGUGUGUUUCGUGGGAACACGUGAGUUUGCCAUGUGUUUGAAACGCUCCCCGUACAGCAGGUUAAGGAAGCAGCCUGGAGCUGCGGAGGGACACAUGUCCUGUCACACGUAGAGGCCGGCAGAUAGCACACCGUCAAAGUUCCCACUGAAGAGUGGGGGUCAUAAGGUUCUAUCUAACCUUGUCUCACCGUGUCCACCUGUUCAUCCGAACAUGGAUCCACGACUGUCACUUUCCACUUUGCAACACUUUGCAUAUCAACAUCAGUAAAUAAGGUCACCUGUCUGAUUCACUAGCAGGGAUAUAUCCGGUUUUCUGGGGGAAAAUUCCCUGAAUUAUCGAAUGACGUUACAUAAUCACUGCUCUCAUCUGCGGGAGAAAUAUGACGAAGAGUCAGUAGGACAGACAGAAUGACACAGGCUUUUCCAUGCACAAAUGCUGUAUUUUUUCCCCUCAUUUAAGUUGCCAAAGGUACUACUGUGGUUUGGAUUCUGUAAUGUUGCUUUGUGGGUUGAAGUGUGGGAUAUUUCACACUUCUGCAUCAUUUUUAUUUUUUUUUUAAUUAGAAAUUUUGAACCUAAAGACGGUAAGCACACAUCCAGGGCUGGCUCUAGCCCAUUUGGUGCCCUAGUCGAGAUUAGACCCAACCUCUUCAGCCAAAGAUUGUGCCUCGAUUUUUAUGUCUGGAUCUGUGGCGUUGUCCCUCACCUUCCUUUGUGCAUCCCUGACUCAAAAAAUAGUAUGACAAGCUUCUGCAGUCAGCCAAAGCAUAGCAGUGCAUAACAACAUAGCGGUGCAUAAGAGACCACAAACAAUUGGCUAAACUUACACUUAAGAGAGUGGCGUGGAUGUUGCAUCAGAAGGCUGCUCUCCAUCAGCUGUUAGGGGCAUCUGGAAUUUUUUUUUAGCAAAAUAAAUAAAUGAAUAAAAGUACAGACAGAAUAGGACAAACAACUGUUGCAGCUUGCAGCAGUUAAUUGCAUAAGUGGUGUGUUCAACAUAACAUUUUAAUUGCCUUAUGAUAAAAGAUUUGCUACCAUUUCACAAUAAACAAAACAGAGUACAAUCUGCACCGGUGGCGCAUCCACAUGGGUUGGCCUCUACUGUGAUUCAUGAUUCAUUAAUCCUUCUUAGUAGCUAUCAGUGUCAUUGUCCAGUGUUGUUUUAUUUCAACCUAGCUAGCAAUCUAAUACAAAUGAAAUGUCUUCACACAAAUUGGCAUUUAAACAAAGAUAACAUAAUGUUACCUUUAUAUUGGGAUGACUUCUCCUCCUCUUUUCUUUUCUUUUGGUACUGCGCGCCCAAGGGCUUUGACGGCUGUUUCUUCUUGCAAAAUAUCAAAACAUAACCUGUCUGUCACUUGACAUGACCAGACCUCUAGGAAACCUAUCUAACCGUCUGAGGUGCGCAGCCAAUGACCACACUUCACGUGACUCAGCACCACAAGGUAACUGGCGGUGACCCUCCAGCAGAUGACACUCUAAGCCAUUGCCUAUGCCUAGAGCCGGCCCUGUGUGCAUCCACCAACGUGCAAUGUUUACUGUGCAAUGCUAGCCAAACAACAGACUUGUCACCAACAGGUGAGGAGCCCUCAUCUGCCUUAAGCACCACGGCUCUGAUCUGCAAGGUGACUCAAAACUUCAGCAACAUAAUGGAAGAGAAAUUCUCCAAGUAUACGGAGACGCCCUAUACACUUUUUCUGCAACCUGGCUGCCCACUGUGCUUGGCUUUGAAACAAGCCCUGGUGCUAAAAGCCGUGUUAAAAUUGAACAGGCACUGGGGGCCGCGAAGCAGGCGUCCCCGCCCGGUGAUUAUCAAACUUCAAAACUCCAGGGACAAGCUGAGGAUAAUUGCAGCAGUUAAGGCGACACCUAAUCUGGAAUAUGAAGGUCAGCGGAUCUUCAUACAUCAGGAUUUAACUUCUCCAGUUCAUGACAAGAGGAAGGCUUUCAAUGUGGUGUGCCAGCCUCUAAUAAACAAAGGUAUCCGCUUUAACAUGCAUUUCCCAGCCAAUCUGAUCGUGAACCACAAUGGCACCGAGCACAAGUUUGAAACAUGAAAAGAUGCAGAAGACUUUCUCCACCCACUGGGAUACAGUCAGACAGGAGUUGCCUUCAAUUUAUAACUUUAAUCUUGUCUCAUCUGAGGGUCUACAUGGACGCCCACUAAGGUCUGCGUGAGUUUGUUUGCCUCAUAUCAGCUAUUCUGUCUUGAGAGAUUCUGUCCUUUUAUUUAAAUUGGUCUUUUCUCUCUUUGUCAAGAUCUGUAGUGUGAUAUAGUCACCCCUUUUUAUGCUCACUCUAAUAUGCUAACAAUAAUUGAGGGGCAUAUUCUGUGGUUGAUAAUAGCAGUAGAGGCUUUAUGCUGACAGGUAGCCAGAAUGAUAAAUGGCAAGUAAUACCAUCAUGUUGUGGGAGCCGGUGGGAUAUGGAGGGUUUUUUUGUUGUUGUUGUUGUUUUUCUUGCUCUAUUACCAAGUGGGUAGCUUUCUGUUUCUUGUUUGUUAUGUUUUUGAUGGUUCAUAUCUUGUUCUUUUUAUAAUGUAAUCAUUCAUGCUUACCUUGCUUUCUGAAUAUGAAGAAAGUUCUAGUUGUUUUCCCAUCAGUAGAAAAUGGCAAUGUUCAUACCAGCACAGUUCACAUUGUUCAUGAGCCAAAUAAUACGGGAUUGCACUUUAUUAGUUAUAAUGGGUCAUUUAUCUCUUUAUAUGUAUCAUUCUUUAGUAGUUAUCUGAUCAAACUGCCAUUUAAUGAGUAACACAAUAGUCAUAGCACUGAUUGUCAAAGGCAUCAUCCAUGCCAUGCUCAAAAAAGAUACAGUACAAGUGGCACUCUUAGAGGAGACUCACUUUACAGACUCUGAACACUUAAAAUUAAAGCGUGAUUGGGUUGGCCAAAUGUAUUCUUCUUCUUUCAACUCAGAAAGUAGAGGGGUAGCAAUACAUAUCCACAAACAUCUUGCUUUUACACUUGAUUGAGUACUUUAUUUAUCCUUGACAGGAAAUGAAUUCAUUGCUACAGCCAUUAUUAGACACACAUGCAUACAUACAUAAAGUUAAGAACCAGAACAUUCCACCUGUCAAGGCUCAUUAAAAAGUGUCAUUGCAGCAGGGGAGAAAAGACCUCCUGCUGUGCUCUGACUUGCACCUUGGCAUGAUCAGUCUUUCACUGAAGGUGCUCCUUUUGAUCACCCCCAGUGCAUUGAGUGGAUGGGAGGGGUUCCUCAUGAUUGCCCUUAUCUUAGACAGCAUCCUGUCUUCUGCCACCUGCUGGACAGAGUGUUACUGGAUAGAGUAACAGUGUUACUGGAUAGAGUGUUACUGUUUAGCUCAGUUGUUACUGAGUUAAACAGUAACACUCUAUCCCUAUUUUACCAUAACUCAUCAGCCAAUUUGGCCUCAUUUCAGGAUAUAAAAUUAACUAUAAUAAUAAAUCAGAGACCUUGCCAUUGGGUGACUCUGGGGAUUGGGUUGCUCCUGCCAGUUCCCUUUUUAGGUGGUCAACUGCAGGUUUUACUUAUCUGGG
Molecule: long non-coding RNA, 3560 nt
Organism: Acanthopagrus latus (yellowfin seabream)
Lineage: Eukaryota; Metazoa; Chordata; Actinopteri; Spariformes; Sparidae
Exons: 2
Source: RefSeq, a predicted model, not a curated record